Schistocerca serialis cubense is the source of this 1074-nucleotide long non-coding RNA. RefSeq lists it as uncharacterized. The record is from RefSeq and is a predicted model, not a curated record. The transcript has 3 exons. Lineage: Eukaryota; Metazoa; Arthropoda; Insecta; Orthoptera; Acrididae.
CCCACGAGGAGCCCGCUGUGCUGGCAGUGGGGAUACCGCUGGCCACGCCACUGGGAACCACAGGCCGAACCGCGCACGCCCAUUCCGCCCGCCGGCACCUACUCAGGUCCAAGAAUUGUGUAUGAUAGCGCAUUUCUUCUGCAGCUGAGAAACUCUCCAUUAUCACAGAAACCACCAAAAGACCUCGCAAGUUUUCCAAAUGACAUUGUUAAGGGGACUAAUGCCUCAUCCUCAGAGGAGACCCCCACAGGGUCGCAACUUUCUCCUUCACCUCCUAGUCAGCAGUGACCCUGCUGCAUGGCGAAAUAAAAACCAAACUCUGCAUUUAAAGCAUCUAUCAGUUUUGCUCUUAGUGUUAUUGACUUUGGUGUUAAGGAAAAGUUUUAGGGUUGAAAGGGGUGAAAUCUCUCCCAGAAGAGCAAUAUUGGAUUGUGUGUUCGAGGAAAAGUCCAACCACUUGUCUUAUAUUGCUUUACCUUUCUUUUCCUGUUAGCACUCGCACAGAUUGUAAAUAUUUACUCCUGUCAAUAAAAGACUAUUCUUUUGUUGUUUUACUUUUCUGUCAAGGUAACACACUUUUCAAACUGUUCUGCACCAUUUCCAUUGUUAGGUGUUAUGCUGUUACUAAGAUAAUUUAAUAAGAUCGAACUUCCAAUUUCAUUUUGUUGUUUAUGUUCUGUCGGUCAUAGCUACAUAUCUAUAAUGCAUAAAUAUAUUGUAAGCAAAUUGACAAGGAAGACAAUAAUUCGAAACUUUUGUAAAAUAUAUCCCAAGCUCCUAUGUAACAUAUAAAACAUGAGCGACAUUUAAACAUUUCUUAGAACUACAAACAUUUCACUCUUAAGAGUGAUACAAAAUUUCUUUUUCCCUUCUUUUGCCUUUUUUAGAAUUGGUUUUCGAACAUAAACAAAAACAGCCAAUGCUGAGGUGAAAUGAAUGUCGUCUAAUCUAUGAGGGAUAUUUUGGAAAAAAUAGACAAACACUGAUGUCAUAUGUGCAGUGAGAGCGUGGAAAGUAAGAGCAGAAAUUGCUUUUUCUGGCAAUCAUAUAUGGAACUGCAAAGUUUGUGUAGUU